CGCGUAGGUGGCGCGACAAGUCAGUGGUGAAAGCUCGACGCUCAACGUCGAGUCGGCCACUGAUACUGUUGGGCUUGAGCACUGUAGAGGCUAAUGGAAUUCCGGGUGUAGCGGUGGAAUGCGUAGAGAUCCGGAAGAACACCGGUGGCGAAGGCGGUUAGCUGGGCAGUUGCUGACACUGAGGCGCGACAGCGUGGGGAGACAAACA
This 208-nucleotide ribosomal RNA is filed under the name uncultured bacterium. RNAcentral's name for it is "partial 16S ribosomal RNA". It matches the Rfam family "Bacterial small subunit ribosomal RNA", at positions 568 to 774 of the family's 1533-position model. The record is from RNAcentral.